CAGUCGCCGCGGUAAUACGAAGGGGGCUAGCGUUGUUCGGAUUUACUGGGCGUAAAGGGCGCGUAGGCGGGCGAUUAAGUCAGGGGUGAAAUCCCAAGGCUCAACCUUGGAACUGCCUUUGAUACUGAUUGUCUUGAGUCCGGGAGAGGUGAGUGGAACUGCGAGUGUAGAGGUGAAAUUCGUAGAUAUUCGCAAGAACACCAGUGGCGAAGGCGGCUCACUGGCCCGGAACUGACGCUGAGGCGCGAAAGCGUGGGAGCAAACAGGAUUAGAUACCCCCGUAGUCCCUGUCUCUUAUACA
This 301-nucleotide ribosomal RNA is filed under the name uncultured bacterium. RNAcentral describes it as "partial 16S ribosomal RNA". It matches the Rfam family "Bacterial small subunit ribosomal RNA", at positions 509 to 808 of the family's 1533-position model. The record is from RNAcentral.